This 331-nucleotide ribosomal RNA is filed under the name uncultured bacterium. RNAcentral describes it as "bacterial SSU rRNA". It matches the Rfam family "Bacterial small subunit ribosomal RNA", at positions 568 to 897 of the family's 1533-position model. The record is from RNAcentral.
CACGUAGGCGGUCUGCUAAGUUCGGAGUGACAGUCACCAGCUUAACUGGUGAAGUACUUUGAAAACUGGCGGACUUGAGAGCGAAAGAGGGACAUGGAAUUCCGGGUGGAGCAGUGAAAUGCGUAGAGAUCCGGAGGAACACCAAAGGCGAAGGCAGUGUCCUGGCUCGUUUCUGACGCUGAGGUGCGAAAGCCAGGGGAGCGAACGGGAUUAGAUACCCCGGUAGUCCUGGCCGUAAACGAUGACCACUAGGCGUGGGAGGGAUCGACCCCUUCCGUGCCGUAGUCAACACAUUAAGUGGUCCGCCUGGGGAGUACGGUCGCAAGACUAA